UAGCUUCGCUGUCGUUGAUGAUGUUGGGUUAACGUCCCGCAACGAGCGCAACCCCUGAUUCCUUAGUAGCCAGCAGUAAGAUGGGCACUCUAAGGAGACUGCCGGGGACAAACCGGAGGAAGGGGUGGACGACGUCAAAUCAUCACUGCCCCUUAUGAUUUGGGCUACACACGUUNCUACAAUGGGGUAAACAAAGGGAAGCGAGAGUGCGAGCUGGANGCAAAUCCCAAAAAUAACGUCCCAUUCUGGACUGCAGUCUGCCAACUCCACUGCACGAAGCUGGAAUCCUAUUAAUCGCCGGAUCAAAUGGCGGGGGUGAAUACCUUCCC
Molecule: ribosomal RNA, 329 nt
Filed under: uncultured bacterium
Lineage: Bacteria
Description: bacterial SSU rRNA
Rfam family: Bacterial small subunit ribosomal RNA
Source: RNAcentral